AACGAACGCUGGCGGCGUGGAUAAGACAUGCAAGUCGAGCGGGGAUCAGUGGGUAGCAAUAUUCGCUGAUUCUAGCGGCGAACGGGUGCGUAACACGUGGGCAAUCUACCGUAAAGUUGGGGAUAACUCGCUGAAAGGCGAGCUAAUACCGGAUGUGAUCGCUGAAAGGCAUCUUUUGGCGAUUAAAGUUGGGGACCGCAAGGCCUGACGCUUUACGAUGAGCCCGCGGCCUAUCAGCUAGUUGGCGAGGUAACGGCUCACCAAGGCUAAGACGGGUAGCUGGUCUGAGAGGACGACCAGCCACACUGGAACUGAGACACGGUCCAGACACCUACGGGUGGCUG
Molecule: ribosomal RNA, 344 nt
Filed under: uncultured Verrucomicrobiota bacterium
Lineage: Bacteria; Pseudomonadati; Verrucomicrobiota
Description: bacterial SSU rRNA
Rfam family: Bacterial small subunit ribosomal RNA
Source: RNAcentral